Molecule: ribosomal RNA, 497 nt
Filed under: uncultured bacterium
Lineage: Bacteria
Description: partial 16S ribosomal RNA
Rfam family: Bacterial small subunit ribosomal RNA
Source: RNAcentral
GAUGAACGCUGGCGGCGUGCCUAAUACAUGCAAGUCGAGCGAACAGGCGAGGAGCUUGCUCCUCUGACGUUAGCGGCGGACGGGUGAGUAACACGUGGAUAACCUACCUAUAAGACUGGGAUAACUUCGGGAAACCGGAGCUAAUACCGGAUAAUAUAUUGAACCGCAUGGUUCAAUAGUGAAAGACGGUUUUGCUGUCACUUACAGAUGGAUCCGCGCCGCAUUAGCUAGAUGGUAAGGUAACGGCUUACCAAGGCGACGAUGCGUAGCCGACCUGAGAGGGUGAUCGGCCACACUGGAACUGAGACACGGUCCAGACUCCUACGGGAGGCAGCAGUAGGGAAUCUUCCGCAAUGGGCGAAAGCCUGACGGAGCAACGCCGCGUUAGUGAUGAAGGUCUUCGGAUCGUAAAACUCUGUUAUUAGGGAAGAACAAAUGUGUAAGUAACUAUGCACGUCUUGACGGUACCUAAUCAGAAAGCCACGGCUAACUACGUG